Long non-coding RNA from Amphimedon queenslandica, 412 nucleotides. RefSeq lists it as uncharacterized. NCBI's taxonomy places the organism in Eukaryota, Metazoa, Porifera, Demospongiae, Haplosclerida, Niphatidae. The transcript is spliced from 3 exons. The record is from RefSeq and is a predicted model, not a curated record.
AGUGGCUUGUUAUGGCUUAAUAGUCUUCAGUGUUCAUCUACUACUGAUUGUAUAACUGAUUGCCUCUCCAGUCGCAAUUGCUAUAUAAAUACUUGCUCACAUAGUUAUUAUCCUUACAUUAGAUGCAAUUUUAAUUCAACUAAAGUAAGUCUGGCUAUUGGAUCGAUGAGCAAUUGUUCCUCAAACAUUGGAGGGCCUCAAUCUGGUGCUGUGAUACUGGAGAGAGAUGGUCAGUAUUCUUUAUCUCAUACUUCAGGUCGUGUUGUGGUCUAUGGCGUCGGUUCAUCUACAGUCAGUUCAAGGUCCUGGGGUAACAUUUGCAGGAGAAAUACUUUCAGUCUAACAGCAGCUAACGUGAUAUGCCACCAGUUGUCCUUCACUGGUGCUAUAACCUGGUCCUAUGCUGCUGUUG